Molecule: long non-coding RNA, 363 nt
Filed under: Chrysemys picta bellii (western painted turtle)
Lineage: Eukaryota; Metazoa; Chordata; Testudines; Emydidae
Description: lncRNA (ENSCPBG00000025684.1)
Source: RNAcentral
CAAGAGCUCUGAGGCAUAAGUGGUUCUCUCAAUUACAGAAAAGACAUUCCUUCUCAUGCAGAUUCAGAGUAAUCCUGUCAUGGUCUGGUGCUGAGCAUCAUCACUCCCUGAGUUCUAGGCUGCCCAGAAGACUGGAACGACUUCAAAGAGGAAUGUGGGACUGAGGCAGCAAUACCGAGGAAGCCCCAGGCUGCCAGGAAGUUUGACCAGCGUUGGAACAGCAGGUCUGGACAGCAUACAGAAGGAGAAUGUAAAAACAAGAGACUUUCCCAAGGGCUUCUUCUGGGAGCUGGAAAAUAACUGACAUCAAGUAAAUAUACAUUUAUAAAUAAAGAGGAUUCAGGGAAGGUGAGUAGGGUAGUA